AGUGAACGCUGGCGGUAGGCCUAACACAUGCAAGUCGAACGGCAGCACAGGAGAGCUUGCUCUCUGGGUGGCGAGUGGCGGACGGGUGAGGAAUACAUCGGAAUCUACUCUGUCGUGAGGGAUAACGUAGGGAAACUUACGCUAAUACCGCAUACGACCUACGGGUGAAAGCAGGGGACCUUCGGGCCUUGCGCGAUUGAAUGAGCCGAUGUCGGAUUAGCUAGUUGGCGGGGUAAAGGCCCACCAAGGCGACGAUCUGUAGCCGGUCUGAGAGGAUGAUCAACCACACUGGAACUGAGACACGGUCCAGACUCCUACGGGAGGCAGCAGUGGGGAAUAUUGGACAAUGGGCGCAAGCCUGAUCCAGCCAUACCGCGUGGGUGAAGAAGGCCUUCGGGUUGUAAAGCCCUUUUGUUGGGAAAGAAAUCCAGCUGGCUAAUACCCGGUUGGGAUGACGGUACCCAAAGAAUAAGCACCGGCUAACUUCGUGCCAGCAGCCGCCGUAA
RNAcentral lists this ribosomal RNA (506 nucleotides) under uncultured bacterium. RNAcentral's name for it is "partial 16S ribosomal RNA". It matches the Rfam family "Bacterial small subunit ribosomal RNA", at positions 29 to 523 of the family's 1533-position model. The record is from RNAcentral.